GACGAACGCUGGCGGCGUGCUUAACACAUGCAAGUCGAACGGAAAGGCCCUACUUUUGUGGGGUGCUCGAGUGGCGAACGGGUGAGUAACACGUGAGUAACCUGCCCUUGACUUUGGGAUAACUUCAGGAAACUGGGGCUAAUACCGGAUAGGAGCUCCUGCUGCAUGGUGGGGGUUGGAAAGUUUCGGCGGUUGGGGAUGGACUCGCGGCUUAUCAGCUUGUUGGUGGGGUAGUGGCUUACCAAGGCUUUGACGGGUAGCCGGCCUGAGAGGGUGACCGGCCACAUUGGGACUGAGAUACGGCCCAGACUCCUACGGGAGGCAGCAGUGGGGAAUAUUGCACAAUGGGCGGAAGCCUGAGGCAGCAACGCCGCGUGCGGGAUGACGGCCUUCGGGUUGUAAACCGCUUUCGCCUGUGACGAAGCGUGAGUGACGGUAAUGGGUAAAGAAGCACCGGCUAACUACGUG
RNAcentral lists this ribosomal RNA (468 nucleotides) under uncultured bacterium. RNAcentral describes it as "partial 16S ribosomal RNA". It matches the Rfam family "Bacterial small subunit ribosomal RNA", at positions 28 to 507 of the family's 1533-position model. The record is from RNAcentral.